This 94-nucleotide ribosomal RNA is filed under the name uncultured bacterium. Its description in RNAcentral is "partial 16S ribosomal RNA". It matches the Rfam family "Bacterial small subunit ribosomal RNA", at positions 397 to 508 of the family's 1533-position model. The record is from RNAcentral.
CCGCGUGCAGGAUGACGGCCUUCGGGUUGUAAACUGCUUUUAUAUAGGAAGAUAAUGACGGUACUAUAUGAAUAAGGACCGGCUAACUACGUGC